GAACGGAGAAUCAGCAAUGAUUCUUAGUGGCGAACGGGUGAGUAACGCGUAGACAACCUGCCUCAAAGAUGGGGACAACACCGCGAAAGUGGUGCUAAUACCGAAUGUUGCAUUAGAUUCGCAUGAAUCUGAUACUAAAGGUGGCCUCUUUAAAUGCUACCGCUUUGAGAUGGGUCUGCGUCUGAUUAGCUAGUUGGUGAGGUAACAGCUCACCAAGGCGAUGAUCAGUAGCCGGUCUGAGAGGAUGAACGGCCACACUGGGACUGAGACACGGCCCAGACUCCUACGGGAGGCAGCAGUGGGGAAUCUUCCGCAAUGGACGAAAGUCUGACGGAGCAACGCCGCGUGAGUGAAGAAGGUUUUCGGAUCGUAAAGCUCUGUCUUUGAGGACGAAUGUGCUUAAUGUGAAUAAUGUUAAGUAAUGACGGUACUCGAGGAGGAAGCCACGGCUAACUACGUGCCAGCAGCCGCGGUAAUACGUAGGUGGCAAGCGUUGUCCGGAAUUAUUGGGCGUAAAGCGCGCGCAGGCGGGAUAUUAAGUCUGUCUUAAAAGUUCGGGGCUCAACCCCGUGAUGGGAUGGAAACUAAUAUUCUUGAGUGCAGGAGAGGAAAGUGGAAUUCCCAGUGUAGCGGUGAAAUGCGUAGAUAUUGGGAGGAACACCAGUGGCGAAGGCGACUUUCUGGACUGUGUCUGACGCUGAGGCGCGAAAGCCAGGGGAGUGAACGGGAUUAGAUACCCCGGUAAUCCUGGCCGUAAACGAUGGGUACUAGGUGUAGGAGGUAUCGACCCCUUCUGUGCCGGAGUUAAC
This 809-nucleotide ribosomal RNA is filed under the name uncultured bacterium. Its description in RNAcentral is "bacterial SSU rRNA". It matches the Rfam family "Bacterial small subunit ribosomal RNA", at positions 64 to 856 of the family's 1533-position model. The record is from RNAcentral.